GCAGCCGACGGCAGCACGGGAGCAAUCCUGGUGGCGAGUGGCGAACGGGCGAGUAAUAUAUCGGAACGUGCCCAGUCGUGGGGGAUAACGUAGAGAAAUUUACGCUAAUACCGCAUACGAUCUAAGGAUGAAAGCGGGGGACCGUAAGGCCUCGCGCGAUUGGAGCGGCUGAUAUCAGAUUAGGUUGUUGGUGAGGUAAAAGCUCACCAAGCCGACGAUCUGUAGCUGGUUUGAGAGAACGACCAGCCACACUGGGACUGAGACACGGCCCAGACUCCUACGGGAGGCAGCAGUGGGGAAUUUUGGACAAUGGGCGAAAGCCUGAUCCAGCAAUGCCGCGUGCAGGAAGAAGGCCUUCGGGUUGUAAACUGCUUUUGUACGGAACGAAAAGGUCUGCCCUAAUACGGCGGGCCCAUGACGGUACCGUAAGAAUAAGCACCGGCUAACUACGUGCCAGCAGCCGCGGUAAUACGUAGGGUGCGAGCGUUAAUCGGAAUUACUGGGCGUAAAGCGUGCGCAGGCGGUUUUGUAAGUCUGUCGUGAAAUCCCCGGGCUCAACCUGGGAAUUGCGAUGGAGACUGCAAGGCUAGAAUCUGGCAGAGGGGGGUAGAAUUCCACGUGUAGCAGUGAAAUGCGUAGAGAUGUGGAGGAACACCGAUGGCGAAGGCAGCCCCCUGGGUCAAGAUUGACGCUCAUGCACGAAAGCGUG
This 709-nucleotide ribosomal RNA is filed under the name uncultured bacterium. RNAcentral describes it as "bacterial SSU rRNA". It matches the Rfam family "Bacterial small subunit ribosomal RNA", at positions 57 to 763 of the family's 1533-position model. The record is from RNAcentral.